Molecule: long non-coding RNA, 803 nt
Organism: Hippocampus comes (tiger tail seahorse)
Lineage: Eukaryota; Metazoa; Chordata; Actinopteri; Syngnathiformes; Syngnathidae
Exons: 3
Source: RefSeq, a predicted model, not a curated record
CAGUGGUGUGGAAUUGUCCAAGGCCAGUAUUGCUGAUGGCACAUUAUAUUUCAUCAUCAUACCACCCAUAUUUGGACUGCAUGUCACAUUUAAGAUUAGGAUUUAUGCUUACUGCCUCACAUUGCUCUCUGUUAAGUAAAUGGGGGAUCACACCAGAUUAAGCCACAUGGUAGCGCUGUUGUGCUAGAAUUGGCCUACAGCUACCACAAGCCCUUAGCGCAGAAUUUGCAAUCAUAAGAAUAUAUCACCGAGCCAGAUGUGCUCAUGGUGGACCCAAGGAGCAAUGCAUGCACUUGGAUGUGACCUUGAGCGUUCAACACAUGAUUGACACAAGACGACCACGGCCGCAUGCUUUCUGUCCAGAUUGGGAUCAGAUGGACGCACAGACAACAAACUCCUGCGACUCCAGCACACUAGUUGCACGCCUCCAUUAGUACAGUCGAAGAUGCAUUGACGGUGAUGCAGAACCAAGGCAGCUAGCGCCAAACAACACACAUGAGGAAUGGUUCAAACUAGCUCGCAAUGUCUAAAUCCAUCACAGUGGGACACUCAAACAUGAGCAAACACUGAUGACCCUGCACCGAGUGUGCCUGACACUAGCAUAUCGUAUCUCAUUAUGAAAAGAAUCUUGCAAUCGGUAUGAUUCUCGGAAUGAUUCGACGUCACUGGUGAUUUUAGUGAUCAGAUACAUUAAAGGUGAUGGAGUUUGAGUCAUGAAUCUGGAGGAGAAAAAAAAAGGCACAAGAAACACUUGAAGAAUAACCAUUUACCAGGAUACAGCUUUCCAAAACUGCAACGUGCAG